Molecule: ribosomal RNA, 831 nt
Filed under: uncultured Bacillota bacterium
Lineage: Bacteria; Bacillati; Bacillota
Description: bacterial SSU rRNA
Rfam family: Bacterial small subunit ribosomal RNA
Source: RNAcentral
CAAGUCGAACGCGAAAGUCCCGAAAGGGGCAAGUAGAGUGGCAAACGGGUGAGUAACGCGUGGGUGACCUGCCUUCGAGCGGGGGAUAACAUUCCGAAAGGAAUGCUAAUACCGCAUAAUAUUCCGCUUUUGAACAGGUGGAAAUCAAAGCUGGGGAUCGCAAGACCCGGCACUUGAAGAGGGGCCCGCGUCUGAUUAGCUAGUUGGUGGGGUAAUGGCCUACCAAGGCGACGAUCAGUAUCCGGCCUGAGAGGGCGGACGGACACACUGGGACUGAGACACGGCCCAGACUCCUACGGGAGGCAGCAGUGGGGAAUUGUUCGCAAUGGGCGCAAGCCUGACGACGCAACGCCGCGUGGAGGAUGAAGACUUUCGGGUCGUAAACUCCUGUCGAAUGGGACGAACAGAUUGCGGGUUAACAGCCUGUAAUCCUGACGGUACCGUUAAAGGAAGCCCCGGCUAACUCCGUGCCAGCAGCCGCGGUAAUACGGGGGGGGCAAGCGUUGUUCGGAAUUACUGGGCGUAAAGGGCUCGUAGGCGGCCAACUAAGUCGGACGUGAAAUCCCUCAGCUUAACUGGGGAACUGCGUCCGAUACUGGAUGGCUUGGAUUCGGGAGAGGGAUGCGGAAUUCCAGGUGUAGCGGUGAAAUGCGUAGAUAUCUGGAGGAACACCGGUGGCGAAGGCGGCAUCCUGGACCGAUAUUGACGCUGAGGAGCGAAAGCCAGGGGAGCAAACGGGAUUAGAUACCCCGGUAGUCCUGGCCCUAAACGAUGAAUGCUUGGUGUGGCGGGUAUCGAUCCCUGCCGUGCCGAAGCUAACGCAUUAAGCAU